GUAGGUGGGCAAGCGUUGUCCGGAAUUAUUGGGCGUAAAGCGCGCGCAGGGCGGUCCUUUAAGUCUGAUGUGAAAGCCCACGGCUCAACCGUGGAGGGUCAUUGGAAACUGGGGGACUUGAGUACAGAAGAGGAAAGCGGAAUUCCAAGUGUAGCGGUGAAAUGCGUAGAGAUUUGGAGGAACACCAGUGGCGAAGGCGGCUUUCUGGUCUGUAACUGACGCUGAGGCGCGAAAGCGUGGGGAGCAAACGGGAUUAGAUACCCUGGUAGUCCACGCCGUAAACGAUGAGUGCUAAGUGUUAGGGGGUUUCCGCCCCUUAGUGCUGCAGCUAACGCAUUAAGCACUCCGCCUGGGGAGUACGGCCGCAAAGGCUG
RNAcentral lists this ribosomal RNA (374 nucleotides) under uncultured organism. RNAcentral describes it as "partial 16S ribosomal RNA". It matches the Rfam family "Bacterial small subunit ribosomal RNA", at positions 526 to 896 of the family's 1533-position model. The record is from RNAcentral.